AUUGAACGCUGGCGGCAUGCCUAACACAUGCAAGUCGAACGGCAGCAUGGUCUAGCUUGCUAGACUGAUGGCGAGUGGCGGACGGGUGAGUAACGCGUAGGAAUAUGCCUUAAAGAGGGGGAUAACUUGGGGAAACUCAAGCUAAUACCGCAUAAGCUCUAAGGAGUAAAGCUGGGGACCUUCGGGCCUGGCGCUUUAAGAAUAGCCUGCGUACGAUUAGCUAGUUGGUGGGGUAAGGGCCUACCAAGGCGACGAUCGUUAGCUGGUCUGAGAGGAUGGCCAGCCACACUGGGACUGAGACACGGCCCAGACUCCUACGGGAGGCAGCAGUGGGGAAUAUUGGACAAUGGGGGCAACCCUGAUCCAGCAAUGCCGCGUGUGUGAAGAAGGCCUGAGGGUUGUAAAGCACUUUCAGUGGGAGGAGGG
Molecule: ribosomal RNA, 426 nt
Filed under: uncultured bacterium
Lineage: Bacteria
Description: bacterial SSU rRNA
Rfam family: Bacterial small subunit ribosomal RNA
Source: RNAcentral